This 253-nucleotide ribosomal RNA is filed under the name uncultured bacterium. RNAcentral's name for it is "partial 16S ribosomal RNA". It matches the Rfam family "Bacterial small subunit ribosomal RNA", at positions 524 to 776 of the family's 1533-position model. The record is from RNAcentral.
UACGUAGGGUGCAAGCGUUGUCCGGAAUUAUUGGGCGUAAAGAGCUCGUAGGCGGUCUGUCGCGUCGGACGUGAAAAUCCAGGGCUCAACCCUGGACCUGCGUUCGAUACGGGCAGACUAGAGUUCGGUAGGGGAGACUGGAAUUCCUGGUGUAGCGGUGAAAUGCGCAGAUAUCAGGAGGAACACCGGUGGCGAAGGCGGGUCUCUGGACAGUUCCUGACGCUGAGGCACGAAGGUCAGGGGAGCAAACGGG